AGCCCAGAGCCUGAAUCAGUGUGUGUGUUAGUGGAAGCGUCUGGAAAGGCGCGCGAUACAGGGUGACAGCCCCGUACACAAAAAUGCACAURYUGUGAGCUCGAUGAGUAGGGCGGGACACGUGGUAUCCUGUCUGAAUAUGGGGGGACCAUCCUCCAAGGCUAAAUACUCCUGACUGACCGAUAGUGAACCAGUACCGUGAGGGAAAGGCGAAAAGAACCCCGGCGAGGGGAGUGAAAAAGAACCUGAAACCGUGUACGUACAAGCAGUGGGAGCACGCUUAGGCGUGUGACUGCGUACCUUUUGUAUAAUGGGUCAGCGACUUAUAUUCUGUAGCAAGGUUAACCGAAUAGGGGAGCCGAAGGGAAACCGAGUCUUAACUGGGCGUUAAGUUGCAGGGUAUAGACCCGAAACCCGGUGAUCUAGCCAUGGGCAGGUUGAAGGUUGGGUAACACUAACUGGAGGACCGAACCGACUAAUGUUGAAAAAUUAGCGGAUGACUUGUGGCUGGGGGUGAAAGGCCAAUCAAACCGGGAGAUAGCUGGUUCUCCCCGAAAGCUAUUUAGGUAGCGCCUCGUGAAUUCAUCUCCGGGGGUAGAGCACUGUUUCGGCAAGGGGGUCAUCCCGACUUACCAACCCGAUGCAAACUGCGAAUACCGGAGAAUGUUAUCACGGGAGACACACGGCGGGUGCUAACGUCCGUCGUGAAGAGGGAAACAACCCAGACCGCCAGCUAAGGUCCCAAAGUCAUGGUUAAGUGGGAAACGAUGUGGGAAGGCCCAGACAGCCAGGAUGUUGGCUUAGAAGCAGCCAUCAUUUAAAGAAAGCGUAAUAGCUCACUGGUCGAGUCGGCCUGCGCGGAAGAUGUAACGGGGCUAAACCAUGCACCGAAGCUGCGGCAGCGACGCUUAUGCGUUGUUGGGUAGGGGAGCGUUCUGUAAGCCUGUGAAGGUGUGCUGUGAGGCAUGCUGGAGGUAUCAGAAGUGCGAAUGCUGACAUAAGUAACGAUAAAGCGGGUGAAAAGCCCGCUCGCCGGAAGACCAAGGGUUCCUGUCCAACGUUAAUCGGGGCAGGGUGAGUCGACCCCUAAGGCGAGGCCGAAAGGCGUAGUCGAUGGGAAACAGGUUAAUAUUCCUGUACUUGGUGUUACUGCGAAGGGGGGACGGAGAAGGCUAUGUUGGCCGGGCGACGGUUGUCCCGGUUUAAGCGUGUAGGCUGGUUUUCCAGGCAAAUCCGGAAAAUCAAGGCUGAGGCGUGAUGACGAGGCACUACGGUGCUGAAGCAACAAAUGCCCUGCUUCCAGGAAAAGCCUCUAAGCAUCAGGUAACAUCAAAUCGUACCCCAAACCGACACAGGUGGUCAGGUAGAGAAUACCAAGGCGCUUGAGAGAACUCGGGUGAAGGAACUAGGCAAAAUGGUGCCGUAACUUCGGGAGAAGGCACGCUGAUAUGUAGGUGAAGCGACUUGCUCGUGGAGCUGAAAUCAGUCGAAGAUACCAGCUGGCUGCAACUGUUUAUUAAAAACACAGCACUGUGCAAACACGAAAGUGGACGUAUACGGUGUGACGCCUGCCCGGUGCCGGAAGGUUAAUUGAUGGGGUCAGCGCAAGCGAAGCUCUUGAUCGAAGCCCCGGUAAACGGCGGCCGUAACUAUAACGGUCCUAAGGUAGCGAAAUUCCUUGUCGGGUAAGUUCCGACCUGCACGAAUGGCGUAAUGAUGGCCAGGCUGUCUCCACCCGAGACUCAGUGAAAUUGAACUCGCUGUGAAGAUGCAGUGUACCCGCGGCAAGACGGAAAGACCCCGUGAACCUUUACUAUAGCUUGACACUGAACAUUGAGCCUUGAUGUGUAGGAUAGGUGGGAGGCUUWGAAGUGUGGACGCCAGUCUGCAUGGAGCCGACCUUGAAAUACCACCCUUUAAUGUUUGAUGUUCUAACGUUGACCCGUAAUCCGGGUUGCGGACAGUGUCUGGUGGGUAGUUUGACUGGGGCGGUCUCCUCCUAAAGAGUAACGGAGGAGCACGAAGGUUGGCUAAUCCUGGUCGGACAUCAGGAGGUUAGUGCAAUGGCAUAAGCCAGCUUGACUGCGAGCGUGACGGCGCGAGCAGGUGCGAAAGCAGGUCAUAGUGAUCCGGUGGUUCUGAAUGGAAGGGCCAUCGCUCAACGGAUAAAAGGUACUCCGGGGAUAACAGGCUGAUACCGCCCAAGAGUUCAUAUCGACGGCGGUGUUUGGCACCUCGAUGUCGGCUCAUCACAUCCUGGGGCUGAAGUAGGUCCCAAGGGUAUGGCUGUUCGCCAUUUAAAGUGGUACGCGAGCUGGGUUUAGAACGUCGUGAGACAGUUCGGUCCCUAUCUGCCGUGGGCGCUGGAGAACUGAGGGGGGCUGCUCCUAGUACGAGAGGACCGGAGUGGACGCAUCACUGGUGUUCGGGUUGUCAUGCCAAUGGCACUGCCCGGUAGCUAAAUGCGGAAGAGAUAAGUGCUGAAAGCAUCUAAGCACGAAACUUGCCCCGAGAUGAGUUCUCCCUGAC
This 2529-nucleotide ribosomal RNA is filed under the name Escherichia coli. Its description in RNAcentral is "bacterial LSU rRNA". It matches the Rfam family "Bacterial large subunit ribosomal RNA", at positions 296 to 2819 of the family's 2925-position model. The record is from RNAcentral. Lineage: Bacteria; Pseudomonadati; Pseudomonadota; Gammaproteobacteria; Enterobacterales; Enterobacteriaceae.